UGCUGUGACCGCAGAGAUGACAGUCGCUGGAUGGUACUGAAACAGGGAGCUCACUGGCAGAGCUCAGCCUCCUGGGUGGGCCAGUGUCGAGGAGAGAAUUUCAAGAGAUAGAAAGUGACAUUCUCCAGCAAGCAUGAAGAACAAUGCAUGAUCGUUGUUUGUGACCACAUCAGAAUACCCCAUCAUCCCAGGGACUUCCCAAAUGGGGCCAUGUGGGCAAGGAAGGGCAAGGGCUCUUAGAAGUGGCUUCUUCCCACCAGCCCCAGUGAGUACCAGUGCCAAAACCCAGUGGGGUCCUGAAGAAGGAAGACAUUCCUUCUCCCAACUUCCCAAGCUGCUGAGGGUGGUCACAUGACCUCAUUCUGGCCAAUAAGAUAUAAGGGGCCUCUGCUGGGAGGGCCCUGGAAACAUUUUCCUCCUCGACAAAAGAGGUAGGAGAAUUCUCUUCUUUCCUGCCCCCUUCCUGGGAUGGGAAUGCUGUCAUGUAAGGACAUGAUAUUUGGAACAGUUGCAGCCAUCUUGCAGCCAUGAGGCAAAGGCCAAGAAAAAUCAAAAUUCCCAAAGACUUUUGAAAUCAUCGAGCUGUUGAGCAUGGAAUUACCUACCUCCAGACUUCUGGCCAGCUUUCUCUGCCACACUUGAAGGAUGGAAUGCCAAUAUUUUUUUCACUUUCUGGGAAGAUCUGAAGAUUAAAGGCCUCCGUGCCCUCGAGGAGAGCAGAAUGGUUUUCUUGGUUGCUGGUUUCUGAGCCUUAUCAAAGGGACCCUGGCUCCAGCGGGGCUGGUCUGAUCCUUCUGUCAAGAUUCAGCUCAUUCCCAUGUCCUCUCCUCCAUUACUUCAAGGAGCAGUGGCAGCCCCCACACCCCCAAAGGCCACUCUCUCCCUUCUGAGGUUUGAAGCUGAUGGUGUCCCCCAUUUGACAGAUGGGUAUGAUGAGUUCUCUCUGCUAUGCUGGGACUUGUCCCCAACUUGGGCCGGGAGCUUCAUGAAGGUAGAGACACAACCCGUUCACCUAACUCCAGGCCAAUCAUUGGAGCACCUGCCCCAUAAUAAGACCCACAACAGGCCCGGGCUGGGGCCUUUCAGCAGAGGCUCCGACCCCUUGUCAGCCCCCUUUCCUCACCUCGACCACACCACGGCACCUGCUGCUGUAUCUGCCAGCACCCUGGGGGACACCAAGUCCCUUCUGACUGCAAGACCCAGGUUGCCUCUGGAAUGAGCCCAGUUAUCUAACCAGCAAAGGUGCCCACUUCCUCCUCCGCCUGCCAUAGAUGGGCAGAUUUUGCUGGAGCCUGAUGCUGGGAAGUGAGCACGUUUUGUGUUAAGAGCUUCUGAGCUCUGUGUACGCCAGGACCACAGCAGCUGUAAACACUGCAGCCUCCCUUCUCCAGCUAGAUAAACUUCAGGCUUCCAGGCAAGGCGCUGCCCCAGCACUCAGUGUUUAAAAAAGGUGUCAGCUGCCACCCACUCUCUUGGCAGAGGCCAGCUCUCCCUCUCCCAGCUGAAGGCCCCGAUUCUGAGCCACUGAUGCUCAGGCCUGGGGGGCAGGGGGCACAGAGCUCAUCUCCUAAUGGGGCCUGGCUGGGAAUCCUCUGGCUAACAGAUGAAGGGGGGCUGUCUGUGUGGAAUAAAUCCUGGAAUGCUCUGGAGACCCUGACGUCCUCCAGAAGCCCUGCCUGACCUAUGCAGACAUGUUCAUCUCAAGCUUCACAUCCUGUGAAAAUAAGGAUGCUACUCCCUUCACCCCUGACAGGGUGAUAUUUUCACCUGUAUCAUUUGGCAUUCAUUUAGUCACCUGACAUUUAUUGAGCAUCUACUGUGUGCUGAUGUGCCAGGCAUUAUACUGCCCUGCCACUCACAGCUACCUAAAAUUCCAUGUUAGGAAAGACUUAAACGAGUGAGACCAGCCCUAUCUAUAUCUGUAUAUGUUAGAUAGAGAUAUAGAUAGAUAGAUACAUAAUAUAUAUUAUAGAUAUAAGAUUCCCCAUCUCUCACCCCUGAGUCAUAUUUUAAAUUUUGUUCAUCAUUUUUAUUCAACCAACAUUUACAGGGUACCUACGAUGUGCGGGCCACUCUCCUAGACACUGGACAUAAACAAGAUACAAUCCAGGCUCCUGAGGAGCUGCCCACCCAUGUGACAGGGAUGUCACCAGGGAGGUGACCUCCAUGGGCCUCAGAAAGAGGAGGCAGACUGACCAGCAAAGGCUAUGCAGGACAGAAGGACACGAUUAGGGACGUGGCCCACCUCACUGGGAUGGGACCUGGGGCAAGCCUUCCCCUCUUCAGGGCUCCCCGUCCUCUUCUCCAAGUGAGAAAGUAGACUGGGGCUCCCGGGUCUUUGAAUUUCGUGGACAAUAUAUCAAAAACCUAACUGAGAGAGCCAGUCAGCUCACCAACGUUUUGUUCCACUGAGUAAGGAAUUUUAGAGAAAAACGAAAACCAGGCCAACAAUUACCAUCUGCCAUCACCAUUAUUUCAUGAGAGAGGGCAUUUUAACCCAAAAAAGCAGGAAGGGCAUAGUCUCAGAAUGAAGGCUGAGCCUUCAAACCGACUCACUCAGCUGAAUCAAGCUCGCUGUGCUGUCCUUGCCGUCCUCGUGCCGCCCCCUCCAGGGGAGCUUUGUGGUGACUAGAUGAUCCACGGCACUUUCUAGCACUAAUGUCCUGGCAGCUGCUGCGUGUGACCCACUGAAGCCGUGACCAAGAGGCCCAAGCCUAGUGCCAUCUCCAGGCGAGAGAGAGAGAGAGAGAGAGAGAGAGAGAAAGAGAGAGAGAGACACACGGUCAGGGGUCUCUAUCGGACAGUGUUGGAGGAGCACCCAGUCCCAACACUUCCUGGAGCCCGCUGUUCUCUCCCAUCCACUUCCCUCAUCCCCACAGCUGCUCCCCUCUUCUCCUCCCCAAACUCCCUGAGAAACAAUGCCCCUCCCGUCUCUAGUCUUCAGGCCUCCAGCCCAGAGGCCACAGGAGCAGAGGGGACCAGGAGCACUCGGCAGCUCAUGGCCUGUGUGAUGGGGGAGGCUGCCAUUC
This is a long non-coding RNA of Equus asinus (donkey), 3029 nucleotides long. Lineage: Eukaryota; Metazoa; Chordata; Mammalia; Perissodactyla; Equidae. The record is from Ensembl.